Marmota monax (woodchuck) is the source of this 79-nucleotide non-coding RNA. Lineage: Eukaryota; Metazoa; Chordata; Mammalia; Rodentia; Sciuridae. The record is from the annotation of a RefSeq genome assembly.
GCUAGGGAUGUAGCUCAGUGGUAGAGCACUUGCCUAGCAUGCACAAGGCCCUGGGUUCGAUCCCCAGCCUUGGGGGACA